RNA transcript from Cucurbita pepo subsp. pepo (vegetable marrow), 1930 nucleotides. It is a transcript of the gene named TBP-associated factor 12, with no coding region annotated. The record is from RefSeq and is a predicted model, not a curated record. NCBI's taxonomy places the organism in Eukaryota, Viridiplantae, Streptophyta, Magnoliopsida, Cucurbitales, Cucurbitaceae.
GUUGCGGAUGAAUUGGCAUUAGCCACCAGCCGGGGAUUUUACCUUCGAUCUCGACUUCAAUGGAUUCUUCGACACAGUCACCGUCCGAACCUCCGGCAGCCUCUUCUCCUCAUCCACCUCCAGCUACAACAGUCUCCUCCGCCACAACUUCCGUUGCAGCUCCACCGCAAUCAUCCCCAAAUGCAAACCCUAAUAUCAAUCCGAGUUCAUUCCAAAAUCAGAACCCCAAUUCCAAGGCCUCAACUCCUCUGCCCAACCAGCCGUCACAACAGCAACAGUCUCUCCCCACUUCACAGCAAGUAACUAGGCCUUCCACCGCAUUGUCUGGAACUUGGCAACCGCCCUCGCAUUUCUCUCAUUUUUCUUCUCCUUCGCCUUCUGCUUCGUCUGGAGUUCCUUCACCUCGCCCUGUUGCUGCUUCUUCUCCAGCCCAAAGGGGCGGCAUCGCCAUUGGGGUUCCAGCUCACCAGCCAACUCCUUCUCCUCAGCCUGCUUCAUUUUCUGCAUCUUAUGGCCAGCACUUUGGUGGGUUGGGCCGAGGUGGCGUCAGCAUGUCGGAACCGGCCUCCAAUGCAACUCCUUCCCAGGUGAGACCUCCUAUGCAAGGAAUGCAGGGUUUGGGAAUGUUGGGAUCAAGUGGUUCUAGUUCUCAUAUGCCGCAGAGACCAGUGCAAUCCUCUCUCAGGAUGCCAUCUACCCCAAACUCAACUGCCCAAAACUUCCAAGGCCAUGGACUCUUGAGAGUUCCAUCAGCAAGUUCUCCAAGUUCUUCAUUGCCAAACACAUCACAAGGUAUGCAACCCUCCAAUCAGCCAUGGUUGCCAUCUACCUCACAAGGAAAACCACCACUUCCAACACCUUCAUAUAGACCACAGGCAAACUCACCUGCUUUGCAACAAAGAUCACAUAUCCCUCAACAACAGAACCAUCCCUUAAUUCCAGCUUCUCAGCAACAGCAAAUUUCAUCAACCCCUCAGCAACAACCUGCACAAUCACAUCAGCAGCAAGAGCAUUUUGCACAACAGUUUCAACCAUCAAGGAGUUCACAAGGCUUACCACAUCAACAACAGGCUGCAAGAGCUCAGGGGCCAGCAAACCCGAAGGCUUCUCCUCUUGCACCUUCACAAACUAGUAAUACACAGACAAUGUCCCAGAGCAGAGCUGUAAGCGCAGAAACUGAAGAACCCUGUAGUAGAAUUCUCAGCAAAAGAAGUAUUGGCGAAUUGGUUAACCAGAUUGAUCCAUCUGAAAGAUUGGAUCCUGAAGUGGAAGAUUUACUUGUUGAUCUAGCAGAAGAGUUUGUUGAAUCAAUUACGACAUUUGGUUGCUCAUUAGCAAAGCAUCGCAAAUCAACCACAUUGGAAGCAAAAGACAUCCUUCUACAUCUUGAAAAAAACUGGAAUAUAACACUUCCUGGGUUUUGCAGUGACGAGAUUAAGAUAUUCAGAAAACCGCUUACAAAUGAUACUCAUAGAGAGCGUCUUGCAGCAGUCAAAAAGUCUAUUGUGGCAAGUGAGAUGGCAAGUACCAGGAGUUCUGCCGGACAGGCCGCUGGAAAUACCAAAAGCAGUCUGGCAAAAACACCUGCAGUUUAGCAUGCUCACCAAAAGCUCCAGCUAUGUGAAUUUGUAUGAGGUAUAUACUGAUGGUACUGGAAUCGAGAAGGAAGUGUCAUGAUUUUCGACGGUGAAAGAUUGAAGAUUGAGAAUUGCGCUCCAUUGCACGUCUGUAAAGGUAGAGAGGCUAAUGGUUUGUUCAAUGCCUUUAAUCUUUAAUUUGUCAAAAGGAGAAGGUUGGAGAAUCAUUUUGACACUGUUCUGGCUACUCUAAUCUUGAAAAGAUAUUUUUGUUAACCUGUGCAAAUUUUUUAGUGAAUUAUGUUAUGACUGCUUUAGUGGCUCUGACAAUUGAUCCAGAAUUAGUUAGUCUA